Molecule: ribosomal RNA, 432 nt
Filed under: Boulengerula changamwensis (Changamwe lowland caecilian)
Lineage: Eukaryota; Metazoa; Chordata; Amphibia; Gymnophiona; Herpelidae
Description: LSU rRNA
Rfam family: Bacterial large subunit ribosomal RNA
Source: RNAcentral
AACGGCCGCGGUAUCCUGACCGUGCAAAGGUAGCAUAAUAACUUGUCAUUUAAUUAAUGACUAGAAUGAAUGGCAAAACGAAAACUUAACUGUCUCUCUUAUUCAAUCAAUGAAACUGAUACUCUUGUACAAAAGCAAGAAUAUUAAUACAAGACGAGAAGACCCUAUGGAGCUUUAAACCCAUUAUCAACUGUAAUAUUAACAAUAACAACUCGAUAAUUGUUUUAGGUUGGGGCGACCACGGAGCAUAAAAAUCCUCCGAGAAAAAUAACCUAAAUAACACAUUAAAGUACUAAAAAAUUUAAAUAAUUGACCCAAUAAAAUUGAUCAACGAACCAAGUUACCCUAGGGAUAACAGCGCAAUCUUCUCUAAGAGUCCUUAUCUACGAGAAGGUUUACGACCUCGAUGUUGGAUCAGGAUAUCCAAACAGU